Molecule: ribosomal RNA, 428 nt
Filed under: uncultured bacterium
Lineage: Bacteria
Description: partial 16S ribosomal RNA
Rfam family: Bacterial small subunit ribosomal RNA
Source: RNAcentral
GUAGGGAAUAUUGGACAAUGGGGGCAACCCUGAUCCAGCGACGCCGCGUGAGUGAUGAAGGCCUUCGGGUCGUAAAGCUCUGUUGCAGGGGAAGAACACAAUGACGGUACCCUGCUAGAAAGGAUCGGCUAACUUCGUGCCAGCAGCCGCGGUAAGACGAGGGAUCCUAGCGUUGUUCGGAAUUAUUGGGCGUAAAGCGGGUGCAGGUGGCUUGGUAAGUCAGAUGUGAAAGCCUGGGGCUUAACCCCAGAAGUGCAUUUGAUACUGCGGAGCUUGAGUGCUGGAGAGGCUAUUAGAAUUCCUGGUGUAGUGGUGAAAUACGUAGAUAUCAGGAGGAAUACCGGAGGCGAAGGCGGAUAGCUGGCCAGACACUGACACUCAGACCCGAAAGCGUGGGGAGCAAACAGGAUUAGAUACCCGGGUAGUCC